Molecule: ribosomal RNA, 1314 nt
Filed under: Enterococcus faecium
Lineage: Bacteria; Bacillati; Bacillota; Bacilli; Lactobacillales; Enterococcaceae
Description: bacterial SSU rRNA
Rfam family: Bacterial small subunit ribosomal RNA
Source: RNAcentral
UGAGUAACACGUGGGUAACCUGCCCAUCAGAAGGGGAUAACACUUGGAAACAGGUGCUAAUACCGUAUAACAAUCGAAACCGCAUGGUUUUGAUUUGAAAGGCGCUUUCGGGUGUCGCUGAUGGAUGGACCCGCGGUGCAUUAGCCUACCGUUGGGUGAGGGUAACGGCUCACCAAGGCCACGAUGCCAUAGCCGACCUGAGAGGGUGAUCGGCCACAUUGGGACUUGAGACACGGCCCAAACUCCUACGGGAGGCAGCAGUAGGGAAUCUUCGGCAAUGGACGAAAGUCUGACCCGAGCAACGCCGCGUGAGUGAAGAAGGUUUUCGGAUCGUAAAACUCUGUUGUUAGAGAAGAACAAGGAUGAGAGUAACUGUUCAUCCCUUGACGGUAUCUAACCAGAAAGCCACGGCUAACUACGUGCCAGCAGCCGCGGUAAUACGUAGGUGGCAAGCGUUGUCCGGAUUUAUUGGGCGUAAAGCGAGCGCAGGCGGUUUCUUAAGUCUGAUGUGAAAGCCCCCGGCUCAACCGGGGAGGGUCAUUGGAAACUGGGAGACUUGAGUGCAGAAGAGGAGAGUGGAAUUCCAUGUGUAGCGGUGAAAUGCGUAGAUAUAUGGAGGAACACCAGUGGCGAAGGCGGCUCUCUGGUCUGUAACUGACGCUGAGGCUCGAAAGCGUGKGGAGCAAACAGGAUUAGAUACCCUGGUAGUCCACGCCGUAAACGAUGAGUGCUAAGUGUUGGAGGGUUUCCGCCCUUCAGUGCUGCAGCUAACGCAUUAAGCACUCCGCCUGGGGAGUACGACCGCAAGGGUUGAAACUCAAAGGAAUUGACGGGGGCCCGCACAAGCGGUGGAGCAUGUGGUUUAAUUCGAAGCAACGCGAAGAACCUUACCAGGUCUUGACAUCCUUUGACCACUCUAGAGAUAGAGCUUCCCCUUUCGGGGGCAAAGUGACAGGUGGUGCAUGGUUGUCGUCAGCUCGUGUCGUGAGAUGUUGGGUUAAGUUCCCGCAACGAGCGCAACCCUUAUUGUUAGUUGCCAUCAUUCAGUUGGGCACUCUAGCAAGACUGCCGGUGACAAACCGGAGGAAGGUGGGGAUGACGUCAAAUCAUCAUGCCCCUUAUGACCUGGGCUACACACGUGUCUACAAUGGGGGGAAGAAAUACACAACGAAAGUGUGCGAAGUCGCGAGGCUAAGCUAAUCUCUUAAAGCUUCUCUCAGUUCGGAUUGCAGGCUGCAACUCGCCUGCAUGAAGCCGGAAUCGCUAGUAAUCGCGGAUCAGCACGCCGCGGUGAAUACGUUCCCGGGCCUUGUA